AUGAACGCUGGCGGCGUGCCUAAUACAUGCAAGUCGAGCGAACAGACGAGGAGCUUGCUCCUCUGACGUUAGCGGCGGACGGGUGAGUAACACGUGGAUAACCUACCUAUAAGACUGGGAUAACUUCGGGAAACCGGAGCUAAUACCGGAUAAUAUAUUGAACCGCAUGGUUCAAUAGUGAAAGACGGUUUUGCUGUCACUUAUAGAUGGAUCCGCGCCGCAUUAGCUAGUUGGUAAGGUAACGGCUUACCAAGGCAACGAUGCGUAGCCGACCUGAGAGGGUGAUCGGCCACACUGGAACUGAGACACGGUCCAGACUCCUACGGGAGGCAGCAGUAGGGAAUCUUCCGCAAUGGGCGAAAGCCUGACGGAGCAACGCCGCGUGAGUGAUGAAGGUCUUCGGAUCGUAAAACUCUGUUAUUAGGGAAGAACAAAUGUGUAAGUAACUAUGCACGUCUUGACGGUACCUAAUCAGAAAGCCACGGCUAAUUACGUGC
Molecule: ribosomal RNA, 497 nt
Filed under: uncultured bacterium
Lineage: Bacteria
Description: partial 16S ribosomal RNA
Rfam family: Bacterial small subunit ribosomal RNA
Source: RNAcentral